CACUGAAUAUGGUGAGCUGCUCUGGUGUAUUUUCUGAUGCUGGUUACAGAAAUAUCAAGAGUUACAAUAUUUCCCAAUAUUUUCUUUUUCCCAGACAAAACAUCAGCGUGCUGAGCUCAGUUAUCUAGUUGACAGACCCCGACGAGUAAACAGUUCUGCAUUCCAGGAAGCAGACAUAGUAAGCUCUAAGGACAGUGGUCAUGGAGACAGUGAGCAAGGAGACAGUGAUCAUGAUGCCACUAAUCGAGGUCAAUCCUCUGGCAUGGAUCUCUUCUCCAAUUGCACGGAGGAAUGUAAAGCACUGGGCCAUUCAGAUCGGUGCUGGAUGCCUUCCUUUGUUCCAUCUGAUGGACGCCAAGCUGCAGAUUACCGCAGCAAUCUGCACGUACCUGGCAUGGACUCCGUUCCAGACACUGAAGUGUUUGAAACACCAGAAGCCCAGCCGGGGGCAGAAAGGUCCUUCUCCACCUUCGGCAAAGAGAAGGCCCUUCACAACACUCUGGAGAGGAAGGAGUUGGACGGACUGCUGUCUAAUACACGAGCGCCUUACAAACCACCAUAUUUGA
RNAcentral lists this long non-coding RNA (566 nucleotides) under Athene cunicularia (burrowing owl). RNAcentral's name for it is "lncRNA (ENSACUG00000004159.1)". The record is from RNAcentral. Lineage: Eukaryota; Metazoa; Chordata; Aves; Strigiformes; Strigidae.